CAGUAGCCGCGGGAAUACGGAGGGCGCGAGCGUUACCCGGAUUUACUGGGCGUAAAGGGCGUGUAGGCGGCCUGGGGCGUCCCAUGUGAAAGGCCACGGCUCAACCGUGGAGGAGCGUGGGAUACGCUCAGGCUAGAGGGUGGGAGAGGGUGGUGGAAUUCCCGGAGUAGCGGUGAAAUGCGCGGAUACCGGGAGGAACGCCGAUGGCGAAGGCAGCCACCUGGUCCACUUCUGACGCUGAGGCGCGAAAGCGUGGGGAGCAAACCGGAUUAGAUACCCCCGUAGUCCCUGUCUCUUAUAC
RNAcentral lists this ribosomal RNA (301 nucleotides) under uncultured bacterium. Its description in RNAcentral is "partial 16S ribosomal RNA". It matches the Rfam family "Bacterial small subunit ribosomal RNA", at positions 509 to 807 of the family's 1533-position model. The record is from RNAcentral.